RNAcentral lists this ribosomal RNA (305 nucleotides) under uncultured bacterium. RNAcentral describes it as "partial 16S ribosomal RNA". It matches the Rfam family "Bacterial small subunit ribosomal RNA", at positions 505 to 807 of the family's 1533-position model. The record is from RNAcentral.
ACAGCAGCAGCCGCGGUAAUACAUAGGGUGCGAGCGUUAAUCGGAUUUACUGGGCGUAAAGCGUGCGUAGGCGGCUUCUUAAGUCGGAUGUGAAAUCCCUGAGCUUAACUUAGGAAUUGCAUUCGAUACUGGGAAGCUAGAGUAUGGGAGAGGAUGGUAGAAUUCCAGGUGUAGCGGUGAAAUGCGUAGAGAUCUGGAGGAAUACCGAUGGCGAAGGCAGCCAUCUGGCCUAAUACUGACGCUGAGGUACGAAAGCAUGGGGAGCAAACAGGAUUAGAUACCCCCGUAGUCCCUGUCUCUUAUAC